GCAGGGGCAUGAGCGCUCCGUGCUCCCCAGAAGCCUCAGACCCAUUCAGCCUCCUUUUCUUAGAGGGCAAGUGGGGCCGGUGGUUUUCCACUGUUAUUUUUAGCUCUGCCCCCACUGUAUUGUUUCGGAUCCAGAGAACGGAGCCUCCGAGGUCCUGCGAGUGUCCAGCCAGUGUCCGGGGGGUAUAACCUUAGCGGGCUUGCAUAGGAGCAGUGAUGACAAGGCUACCGGAACCUGAGCUCCCCGACCCCCACCCCACCCCCACGGAGACUCGGAUCCACUGCGAGUGACUCAACAGAAGCGGCCCUGCCCCCAUCCCGUCCAACUGGCGUCCACAGGUGGGGAGAGAACAGCGCUCCCAGAAGCCGGAUGAAAGGAGUCGCUCCGGGUCACGAGCUUGGCAUUUCCCAGCUCCGCCUCCGUGUCCACUCACCUCCAAGGUCAGCCUCUGCAGAGCCACACAACCCGCGGGAGGGACCCCUCCAGGCCCCAGGGGGCUGGCAAGGAGGACUGGGAUGGGACAGCAGCCACCGUGUGGUACAGAAGUGAAUCCUGUGGCCCCCACCUGUCUGGGAGCGAGUCUGGGCUCUGCCGGUGUGAUGCUGGGUGAGAAAACAGGCCCAGAGAAGGUGGGUCCUUGCCCAGGCUCACACAGCUACGGAGCAGUAGAAGCUGGCAUUUGAAACUGAGCCCCAAGACAGAUUCGUGUUGGCAGAUGUAUAAACUGAAUACUGACCCUCCAGAGAGAUCCACGCCCUAAUCCCGGGAACCCCUGUGAAUGUCACCUCCCGAUGGCAAAGGGAUUCUGCAGAUGGGAAGAAGUGAAGGAUCUUGAGAUGGGAACAUUAUCCCCGAUUAUCCAGCUAUAAGUCCCGGGAUCUUCCAGCUCAACCAGCCCAUUUUACUGACGACGUGGAGCCUGAGGCCACAGUUAGGGGUCAACUUGCCCCGUCCCGCCGAGAUGAGUGGCGGGAGGGCGCUGUCUCCUGGCACAUCCUGGGGGUCCUUGCUCUGCUCUUCUGGACUCCAGCCCUGGGCAGCCUGGGCGAAAUCAUCUAGUCCAAACCCAUUUUCCGAGUGAGGAAACUGAGGCCUGGAGUUGUCCGAGAGUUGGACUCGAGUCCCUAAGUGACAGGGGAUGUGCAGGCCCUGAAUCCCCAGGGAGUCCUCUCGGCAAGGCCCUCCCCUCCCCCUCUGGAGCGCCGCUCCUCCCCGUGUAUCCCCAGCAGACAGGGGCCAGCGGGGUCUGGGAAAACCACAUCAGGAGCGGCCCAGCUGUGGUGCAGGAAUUCGAGAGCAGCUCCUUAGUGGCCUUCAGCCUGGGAAAGCUCUGAGGCCUUCCUGUCCCCGCCCGCCUUGCCGCUUAGGGCCAGCCCUGUCCCCAAGGCUGUGAGAAGUCGCCUGGAGGCAGUGUCCAGUGGGGUGGAGGAAAGAGCGGCCUAGAAUGGAGGGACUUGAUCCCCGAUCCUAAGCCAGUUAGUGGCAUUAUCCUGGAUUAUCCUAAACCGAGCUCAGGGCCCUGGGCUUGUCUAGGGGAGCAUAGGUCUCCCUGCCCCCGGCAUGUGGGGGUUCCAGUGGUGCCCUAACACCCAGCGACACAGGCACAGUUCUUACAUAAAGCAUUCACACCCACUGGCACCCUCAGACCUCACAACAACCCUGUAACGGCGAGGCUGCUGCUGUCCCAUUUUACAGAUGGAGAAACUGAGGCUCGGAGAGAGAAAGGGACUCUCCCCAAGUCAAGGUCCUGUGGUGGCAGCACUGGGACUCUGCUAACUCCGACAUAAUAAUAGUAUCCACCUCAUUGGGGCGCCUGCGGAAUCACCGAGUGCGUGAGCCCCGCGCCUGGCACGCGGUGAGCGCUCCAUCUUCGCUGAGCCUCAUCACCAUCACACUAGCCGAUUGGAUAACCGCAAAUACUACUGCGCGGGGCCAGGAGCCCAGCACAACACGCCCUGCCCCCGGGGCUGGGGGAAGACGCCAAUAAACACA
Molecule: long non-coding RNA, 1992 nt
Filed under: Equus caballus (horse)
Lineage: Eukaryota; Metazoa; Chordata; Mammalia; Perissodactyla; Equidae
Description: lncRNA (ENSECAG00000054642.1)
Source: RNAcentral